UCCUACGGGAGGCAGCAGUCGAGAAUCUUCGGCAAUGAGCGCAAGCUUGACCGAGCGACGCCGCGUGCGGGAUGAAGGCCUUCGGGUUGUAAACCGCUUUCAGUGGGGAGGAAAUCGCUAGGGGUUCUCCCCUAGUGUUGACCUAUCUUCAGAAGAAGGACGGGCUAAGUUCGUGCCAGCAGCCGCGGUA
RNAcentral lists this ribosomal RNA (190 nucleotides) under uncultured Pirellula sp. RNAcentral describes it as "partial 16S ribosomal RNA". It matches the Rfam family "Bacterial small subunit ribosomal RNA", at positions 337 to 522 of the family's 1533-position model. Lineage: Bacteria; Pseudomonadati; Planctomycetota; Planctomycetia; Pirellulales; Pirellulaceae. The record is from RNAcentral.